Molecule: long non-coding RNA, 716 nt
Filed under: Heterocephalus glaber (naked mole-rat)
Lineage: Eukaryota; Metazoa; Chordata; Mammalia; Rodentia; Bathyergidae
Description: lncRNA (ENSHGLG00100047111.1)
Source: RNAcentral
GAACAUUUUUGGGAAUUUCUGAGCAACUCGAGCAGGUUCCUCUGGUUUCUAAUCCAUUAUCAGGAUCUGCUGCUUUAAAGCUGAAGUAAUCCAGCGUGCCUGAAAGGAACUUUGCCACAAGAAAAAGGCUUCUGAAGUUGAAGUCGUUUCUCUUGUCUGGCCCACACAUCCCCCGUGCUAAGGGUAAAAGCACUCAGACUCAGCUCGUGACAGUGAAUUUGUUAAAACAUCUGAAAGCCCAUGUUUGCAGUACAUGCUCCGUGCCAUGUGAAAGUGUUCCCAGCACAUGCUCCAUGCUGCCGUACCUCUGGAAGGCUUGGUUCUGGUUCCCAACCCCUCCUCUACCUCAUCCCACCCCACACUCACAGAAGUGCUUCUCUUGGAGGCUCCGUUUCACUCAGCCGGCCGGUGAGUUGCCAUCUCUAAUCCCGGGCAGGAACCUUAGGGGAGGUGGCUCAGCGGGAAGUGCUGGAACCUUUAAGGGGUGGAUCCUAGCAGGCACCUUAGGUCAAUGGGGUGUGGCCGUUGAAGAGGAUUGUGGGACCUGUCCUCCUCCUCAUGCCCUCUUUUGCUUGCCAACUGUGUUGUACUGACCCUUUUUUUUCUGCCACAUACUUCUGCCGUGUUCUUUCUGCCUUGCCCAAAGCUACCAGGCCAAUCAUUGAUGGAUUGAGCCAAAAAUAACCCUUUUUCUCUUUAUAAGUUGAUUAUUGCAG